AACGAACGCUGGCGGCAUGCCUAACACAUGCAAGUCGAACGAGACCUUCGGGUCUUGGGGCGCACGGGUGCGUAACGCGUGGGAACCUGCCCUUAGGGUCGGCAUAACUCUCCGAAAGGGGUGCUAAUACCGGACAAUGUCUUCGGACCAAAGAUUUAUCGACUUUGGAUGGGCCCGCGUUGGAUUAGCUAGUUGGUAGGGUAAAAGACUACCAAGGCGACGAUCCAUAGCUGGUCUGAGAGGAUGAUCAGCCACACUGAGACUGAGACACGGCCCAGACUCCUACGGGAGGCAGGAGUGGGGGAUAUUGGAAAAUGGGCGGAAGCCUGAUGCAGCAAUGCCGGGUGAGUGAUGAAGGCAUUAGGGUUGUAAAGCUCUUUUAACCAGGAUGAUAAUGACGGUACCGGGAGAAUAAGCUCCGGCUAACUCCGUG
Molecule: ribosomal RNA, 433 nt
Filed under: uncultured bacterium
Lineage: Bacteria
Description: partial 16S ribosomal RNA
Rfam family: Bacterial small subunit ribosomal RNA
Source: RNAcentral